GCCUGGGAAUACCAGGUGCUGAAAGCCGUCUGAUCUCAGAAGCUAAGCAGGGUCGGGCCUGGUUAGUACUUGGAAGGGAGAUUGCCUGGGAAUACCAGGUGCUGUAAGCU
Molecule: ribosomal RNA, 110 nt
Filed under: Sinocyclocheilus rhinocerous
Lineage: Eukaryota; Metazoa; Chordata; Actinopteri; Cypriniformes; Cyprinidae
Source: RNAcentral